GCACAGGCUGCAUGCUGCCUUUGGCUUCUGGAAGGGCAAGAACCUGCCUUGCAUGUGAGGUCAGAUUGGGACAACUACUAAAGAAGUUAAAAGCCACAGAGGACACAAGUAUGAAAGAACGGUGCAGAAAAAAAGGGAUGCUUGACCAGAGGGCUGCGAGCAAGAGAUGGAAAACUGCCAGUGGAACUAAAAAGAUAGCAGUAAAUAAAUAAAUAAAUCACAAACCUUUUUCG
RNAcentral lists this long non-coding RNA (233 nucleotides) under Coturnix japonica (Japanese quail). RNAcentral's name for it is "lncRNA (ENSCJPG00005016077.1)". Lineage: Eukaryota; Metazoa; Chordata; Aves; Galliformes; Phasianidae. The record is from RNAcentral.